This 411-nucleotide unclassified non-coding RNA is filed under the name Hevea brasiliensis (rubber tree). Lineage: Eukaryota; Viridiplantae; Streptophyta; Magnoliopsida; Malpighiales; Euphorbiaceae. The record is from RNAcentral.
GGGCAAUGCACCAAGCUUCCGCAAGAUAAGCUUUCUGAGGCAAAGAGCUGCAUGUACAACACGGACAUCGAAAAGUUGCAUACAGGCUCUUAGUGGAACAUACAAAAAUGAGAAGAUUCUUGUGGCAAAUAGAGGAGAGAUCGCAGUCAGGGUGAUUCGAACUGCACAUGAGAUGGGGAUACCAUGUGUUGCUGUGUACUCCUCCAUUGAUCGCGAUGCUCUUCAUGUCCGACUUGCAGACGAGGCAGUUUGCAUCGGUGAAGCACCAAGUAGUCAAUCAUAUCUUGUCGUUGCAAAUGUUUUAUCUGCUGCAGUUAGCCAUGGCUGCACUAUGCUGCAUCCAGGGUAUGGUUUCCUGUCCGAGAAUGCUGGUUUUGUUGAUAUAUGUAAAGGGCAUGGAAUCAAUUUUAU